ACCCAUGAAGAAAUAAGUUAGCCAUACAUGGCUUUAGUGAGACGAACAAUACGUACUGAGAAUGGUCAGGACAAGAGCUUGCAGAAGUAGAGUCCAAGUGUUGAACACGUCAAAGUCAAUAUUUGCUCCAUGUCGGUUUCAAUUCUGCAUUUAAUAUGGAGGUACGUAGUUUGUGAUAACAGUGAAACAAUAUGUGAAUAUGAUCGCAUUAUUACUGGCGUAUUUUUAUCAAACAGAGAGGCUUAUACUGGAUUAAAAUGGAGACCUCACAAUCCAGGAGUUUAGUGAAAGUGGAAAAUGAGAGAUUUUAAGAAUCUUAAGCAAUUGCAGCUAUCAAAUUACGCAAAGAUAAACAAAGCCAAACUGCAUUUCAUAUGACUGUUGAAGGUCAGGAUACUUAUAUGAACGAGAAAGUACUGGAUGCUGGCAGCUCAAUAUUGAUUGAGCAUGACAAGAAAGGCAAUACAACUUUCCACAUAGCCACAUGGAAAUGUCGUCUCGACGUAGCUUUUUAAUUAGUUUCUUACGGCUAUAACAUGACACUUGCUAUUCUGAAUACAUCAAAGAUCUGAUCUCAUCUUUGGAUUUUGAAAGUAAAGGUUAUUUUUUGUAGCACUCGAUUUCCUGAACUGUUCUUGAACUGUCAAUGCAUUCUUAAUCCUUUCAUUUUUAUCGUAUUGCUAAACAAAAUGGUCAGUAGUGGUUUAUGCUAAGAUAAAUUUCUAGAAGAAUGAAGUAGAUUUUUUUGUAAAAAUAAAGAAAAAGAAAAGAAAAAAUAUUAUCAGCUAUAGAAUCUUGCAGUAAGUAGGGGCUAGAGUUUAACUCGGGAAGCCUGCAACUUUGUAAUAGACGACUGUUGUAAGGAUCCCUGAAUAGGUUUUUUGAAUUCCUCUGUUUUUCUAAGUUGGGGACUGAACUGGUACUCAUAGGCAGGCAGCACUAUAUGGAUUGCCUUGUUGUCUUAUAUUGUAGUUCUGAUGGUCUUUAUAAAUAUUCCUCAUAAAAAUUGAAACUGUUGGAAUAUGAAUGUAUGUACUAUCUAAUCCUUGCUAGAAAAAACAGGAUUUAUAAUUGCAUUUUGACUUAAAUAGCUAUUGGACGAUUACUGACUGUUAAAGGAACUGAUCUUGGUAAGCUUCUGCCAAAUUUCUAUUUAUGUUGUGAUUUUUAGAAAGACAAAGUUUGGUUGCUGAGCAAUGAAGUGCUGAUAGCAAAUCAUGAAUUAAGAUGUGUGUGUAAUGUGCUUGACGAAGCAAACACUUGCUAUAAUUUUUUGGGUAUUAUAUCUACAAUAUUUAACUAUGGGACUGUGACUUUGUAAAAAUUGCUGAGAGCUUUUUCCCUUUGACUUCCUGAAUAUGAUUUGAUGACAUCAUUAGAUUUCGCCUGCACAUGCAGGUGGCUGCUUGAACUACAAUACUCUAUUUACUUCGCGUGAUCGCGAUCUGUUUAAUAGGAGAUUAUGUGAGUCUGGAUAAUGAUUCAGAUGCCUGCUGCCUUGGGACAAGAUGCUUUUCAAAAUAAAGCUGCUAAAUUUGGUGCUAUAUUAUCCAAGAAUUUAUUGCUUCGCAUUAUCUAUAGUAACUGAUAAAGGUUUGUCAAUCAAAUGUAUGAUAAUUGUGAUUUAUGAUGGUUAAGAAGUGGAAUUUGAGGGCAGGUAUUUUAACCAAAAUUAUUUUGUUAAUCAGUUCCUUAGGAAUGUCAUGUCUUGCUGAAAUUGUUAUACUUAUCUCAUUUGGAGACCAAAUAAGUUAUAAUAUAAAAAUAAAUGUGAAUUAGGCUAUACACCUAUGGUAUUUGAUGAUAUACCUGACUCAUUUUAUUUGGUGCUAACUAUCAUGUCCUGACAGAUUUAAUACUCGGCAUUAUAAUGUAUUAUAUUGUGCGCUUAUUGAUGAGAAUAACUUCAUGCAGGGUACAAACUAGGGUGGAUCGUUAUGCUGGUUUUGAGAGGUUUUGGUCACUUUAAUGGUUUUGAUUGUUUUCUUCAGCUUUUGUUGAUGUGAUUUUUCCCCUUUGUUGUGACAUAUAAAAUUUGGAGCUGAUAUGGAUAUGUCGGAUGGAGACUUUUUUGUGGCUCUAUCGCUGUAACAUAAACAAAGUUUGAGUUUCAGAUUCAUUAAUUUCAUUUCUGACCGAAGCUUCAUUAGUUUAUCAUAUGAUCUUUUGACAGUUUCACAAUAUGAAGGCACACAAAAGUUACUUGGAAGAUCUACUCAGUGUUAUAUUUCAUUUGACAAAUUCUUCUCUGCUGAACUACUAAAGACAAAAAUAUUCUCUUUAAUGAACCUCACUACAUUAGUAUUUCCUUCCUAUUAGUUGUGAACUUGUGGUCGUCUCAUCAAUGCCUUUACAAAGAUGAUACUUUUAUUUUUCAAGAACUAUACUUCAUGAAGUGUAUUCAUGUGCAUCAUGCAAUUUAUGGCUCCAUACUAUUUAUAUUUCCAAAAUAGAUUGCAGAGCGUAUAUAAAUGUAAUUCUUUUUGUAGCUUAUAUGAUUCAAUUUACUGAUUUCCUGCUUCAGAUCUUGCCAUUGCUUUUCUUCAUUGGCCUUUUCUUGAGGUAUGUGCCUAUAUAUACGAAGGAUCAUAUUUCUGCUUUGAAUCUUAGUAGGUUGGUCUUUCACAAGGGAAAAUUCAACUCCUCCAUCCUUAAAAGUUCUUCAUCACAUGUAAUACAGAGAGAACACAAACGGAGAUUGCAUCUACUUUUGAGAAUAUAUUUAGUUUCUUAAAUUUCAAGUUUGUAAUUACAAGUGAAAUAAGGGUAUAUAAGAUACCUUUAAUUCGUAUAUUUUGCUAUGAUUCAAUGAAUGAUAGUUACAACGUAA
Molecule: long non-coding RNA, 2830 nt
Organism: Lycium ferocissimum
Lineage: Eukaryota; Viridiplantae; Streptophyta; Magnoliopsida; Solanales; Solanaceae
Exons: 2
Source: RefSeq, a predicted model, not a curated record